AGUGAACGCUGGCGGUAGGCCUAACACAUGCAAGUCGAACGGCAGCACAGUAAGAGCUUGCUCUUACGGGUGGCGAGUGGCGGACGGGUGAGGAAUACAUCGGAAUCUACUUUUUCGUGGGGGAUAACGUAGGGAAACUUACGCUAAUACCGCAUACGACCUACGGGUGAAAGCAGGGGAUCUUCGGACCUUGCGCGAUUGAAUGAGCCGAUGUCGGAUUAGCUAGUUGGCGGGGUAAAGGCCCACCAAGGCGACGAUCCGUAGCUGGUCUGAGAGGAUGAUCAGCCACACUGGAACUGAGACACGGUCCAGACUCCUACGGGAGGCAGCAGUGGGGAAUAUUGGACAAUGGGCGCAAGCCUGAUCCAGGCAUACCGCGUGGGUGACGAAGGCCUUCGGGUUGUAAAGCCCUUUUGUUGGGAAAGAAAAGCAGCAGGUUAAUACCCCGCUGUUCUGACGGUACCCAAAGAAUAAGCACCGGCUAACUUCGUG
Molecule: ribosomal RNA, 492 nt
Filed under: uncultured bacterium
Lineage: Bacteria
Description: partial 16S ribosomal RNA
Rfam family: Bacterial small subunit ribosomal RNA
Source: RNAcentral